Molecule: non-coding RNA, 30 nt
Filed under: Rattus norvegicus (Norway rat)
Lineage: Eukaryota; Metazoa; Chordata; Mammalia; Rodentia; Muridae
Source: RNAcentral
UAGAAUUGGUAAGAAAACUGGCUGGCUGCU